CAAAAAUGGAUAACAAAUCACUCAAUCACAAUUUUCAUGACGAAGAGCUUGUGGACUUUGAGAAAUCGAAAUAUCAAGAUCUCAAGAAUGAGGUUAUGAAAAUCAAUAAGUUUGAGAAAGUGGAUGAAUCGACACUUAGCCAAAUAGUUCAGUCAUACGAGAAUGAGGUAC
Long non-coding RNA from Solanum dulcamara, 171 nucleotides. RefSeq lists it as uncharacterized. Lineage: Eukaryota; Viridiplantae; Streptophyta; Magnoliopsida; Solanales; Solanaceae. The record is from RefSeq and is a predicted model, not a curated record. The transcript has 3 exons.